This 355-nucleotide ribosomal RNA is filed under the name uncultured bacterium. RNAcentral's name for it is "bacterial SSU rRNA". It matches the Rfam family "Bacterial small subunit ribosomal RNA", at positions 8 to 349 of the family's 1533-position model. The record is from RNAcentral.
AGAGUUUGAUCCUGGCUCAGGAUGAACGCUAGCUACAGGCUUAACACAUGCAAGUCGAGGGGAAACGACAUCGAAAGCUUGCUUUUGAUGGGCGUCGACCGGCGCACGGGUGAGUAACGCGUAUCCAACCUGCCCACCACUUGGGGAUAACCUUGCGAAAGUAAGACUAAUACCCAAUGACGUCUCUAGAAGACAUCUGAAAGAGAUUAAAGAUUUAUCGGUGAUGGAUGGGGAUGCGUCUGAUUAGCUUGGUUGGCGGGGUAACGGCCACCAAGGCGACGAUCGAGUAGGGGUUCUGAGAGGAAGGUCCCCCANAGUUGGAACUGAGACACGGUCCAAACUCCGUACGGGAGCA